CUGCAAUCAGUGAUGAAAUUAUGUCAAAUUCAAUGAUUAUACAAUGAUUAUUAUAAUCACUAGAUCACCAUCUUUCGGCUGAGAUUGCAG
Molecule: small nucleolar RNA, 90 nt
Filed under: Arabidopsis thaliana (thale cress)
Lineage: Eukaryota; Viridiplantae; Streptophyta; Magnoliopsida; Brassicales; Brassicaceae
Source: RNAcentral